RNAcentral lists this transfer RNA (92 nucleotides) under Clostridiales bacterium. Its description in RNAcentral is "tRNA-Ser". It matches the Rfam family "tRNA". From Rfam's summary of the family: Transfer RNA (tRNA) molecules are approximately 80 nucleotides in length. Their secondary structure includes four short double-helical elements and three loops (D, anti-codon, and T loops). Further hydrogen bonds mediate the characteristic L-shaped molecular structure. tRNAs have two regions of fundamental functional importance: the anti-codon, which is responsible for specific mRNA codon recognition, and the 3' end, to which the tRNAs corresponding amino acid is attached (by aminoacyl-tRNA synthetases). tRNAs cope with the degeneracy of the genetic code in two manners: having more than one tRNA (with a specific anti-codon) for a particular amino acid; and 'wobble' base-pairing, i.e. permitting non-standard base-pairing at the 3rd anti-codon position. The record is from RNAcentral. Lineage: Bacteria; Bacillati; Bacillota; Clostridia; Eubacteriales. RNAcentral also lists the same sequence under 1 other name.
GGAGAGUUGUCCGAGCUGGCCUAAGGAGCACGACUGGAAAUCGUGUAACCGUCACAAGCGGUUCGAGGGUUCGAAUCCCUUGCUCUCCGCCA